AUUGAACGCUGGCGGCAUGCCUAACACAUGCAAGUCGAGCGGAGGAAGGGAGCUUGCUCCUUGAUUCAGCGGCGGACGUGUGAGUAAUUCCUAGGAAUCUGCCUGGUGGGGGGGGAUAACGUCCGGAAACGGGGGCUAAUAGCGCGUACGUCCUGAGGGUGAAACUGGGGGAUCUUCGGACCUCUGGCUAUCAGAUGAGCCUAGGUCGGAUUAGCUAGUUGGUGGGGUAAAGGCCUACCAAGGGGACGAUCCGAACCUGGCAUGACGGGAUGAUCAAUCACCCGGGAAGUGAGACACGGUCCAGACUCCUACGGGAGGCAGCAGUGGGGAAUAUUGGACGAUGGGCGAAAGCCUAAUACAGCCAUGCGGGGGGUGUGAAGAAGGUCUUAGGAUUGUAAAGCAAAUAAAGUUGGGAGGAAGGGAAGUAAGAUAAUAACUUGAUGUUUUGACGUUACCAACAGAAUAAGCGCCGGCUAACUUCGUG
This 484-nucleotide ribosomal RNA is filed under the name uncultured bacterium. RNAcentral's name for it is "partial 16S ribosomal RNA". It matches the Rfam family "Bacterial small subunit ribosomal RNA", at positions 30 to 507 of the family's 1533-position model. The record is from RNAcentral.